Oreochromis niloticus (Nile tilapia) is the source of this 6202-nucleotide long non-coding RNA. RefSeq lists it as uncharacterized. NCBI's taxonomy places the organism in Eukaryota, Metazoa, Chordata, Actinopteri, Cichliformes, Cichlidae. The record is from RefSeq and is a predicted model, not a curated record. The transcript is spliced from 2 exons.
CUCUGUAUUUAUUAUUGUGCGAUCUACUGUACAAUAUAAAGCGCCUUGAGGCGACUUCUGUUGUGAUUUGGCGCUAUAUAAAUAAAAUUGAAUUGAAUUGAAUUGAAUUUACAUUUUCAGCCUCUAGCAGUAGGACCGUGUUUAGCUGUUUUUGUAGGUUUUACAAAAGCUGCUGCCACAAUUGUGAGACGAGGACAUACUUAAAGAUACACGAAGAUGUCAAAUCCACGAAGUAACAACAGGUCAUUUUGCGUGCAGUGAAGUGAUUUGACAUUUAAUGUUAGGAGCGCCUAUAAAUGCAGUGCUUGGGUAAAAGUACCCGAUUACUUACCCGAGGAGAUCAAGAAGAAGCUGCAGGUGUUAUUUUUGUCCAGCAGGUGGAGAACUCUGAUCACCUGUUGCUGAUUGUGAGUAACGUGAAAGCGAACAGCGCUGGAUUCAAGAACAUCGACACUCUAUAUUUCCAGCUGAAUCUAAAGUGAAUACGCUCAGUUUUCCUUUUACUGUAAUAAUAUAAAUCUUAUGUUGGAAGAGCCCUCCGCUACUUUUUAUGCCAUCUCAUCACAAGCAUGAAGACUAUAAUAUAAAGAGGUUGUUUCUUAUCUUUCGUUCCCAGUUCAGAGGAUUACAGCUUAUCCACAAAGGACCUCCCAGUACUUUAUAUUUUUAGGUCGACCAUGCUGCGAAACCUUCCCUGCGGACUUCCACCUGAAACCCCCAACCAGUGCUCAGUCAGGGUGCCGGGCCUGAGGACUGUGUGUGAGGCAUUCACGUCUCUCUGUGCACGUCAGAGACGGCUGUAGUGCAUGAAGGUGUGUGUGAGCACACACCUAUGAGCCGGGGGACACCCCGACCCUUCAAUCAAGUAUUAGCUGUCAAUAUUUGGACCUCCUUCCUGCUCCCCCCGCUCAUUAGGUGGUGGUGGUGUGAUUUCAUGCUUCUCACCAGGAGGCCUUCGCAAAGUCCCAGUCAGCUGUACAGACGGAUAAAGUGCUAAUUUGUGUGAUAUGAAAUGUUGACACUGUUAUAGUGUUAUAUGUUACAAGGAGGGACAAUAUGAGUGUGGUCAAUAACAUGACAGAUGAAGGAUAUGAAAGGUGCAAAGGCAGAGGCUGUGUGGUGGGCUCUAAACCUCAUUGAUUUACUAUAUUAAUUCAGAAAGAUAAGCACGGGCAGUAGAGGCAGCCAGUUUUAAGAAGAACUGUCGGUUCACAUCAUCCAUCUAUCUAUCUAUCUAUCUAUCUAUCUAUAAACCAGAACAUUGUUACCACCUUAUUUGCAAGUUCUUUUUUUUUUUAAAGCAAAACAUGGCAAUGUAAGUGACUAAAAUAGAGUAAUACAGUUGAGAAAUGCAGCAGCCAUCUACAGUGUAAUAAAACUGUGGCCCUUCUCUCAUCAUUGGACAUCCAGUCUGCUUUUUAUAUGUCACAGGAUAAUGAAAUCCCCUCCUGGUAAAUCUGUUCUGACCUUUUUUUCCCCACUCACCUAGUAUCCAUAUGAUUAUCUGUUCUUUCCUUCACCAGCCCGCUGAUGUUUUUCACCAGUCUGUAGUAAACUUGAGCCCCACGUUCAAGUGGCUGCCUCCUUUGUUUUUUGGCAUUCAAGCUUUUCAGGGAACACAGCAUCAGGAAAUUCAGUCCAGGUUUCAGACUGUGGACGUGGUCAUUAGAUAUAUGGUGUGUGAAACAGAACAAGAACACUUAUAUAAAUAAAAUUAAAUGCAAGUUGUGUCAUUAUCACAUCUGAUGUCCAAAAUUUGAAGUUGAGCUCAUUCGAGAGGCUUCAUAAUUAAACAAAAAGAAUAUUUAAUAUAUUUGAAAUUUGAUAUCUUUCCACUAAUCAAUACAAAAAGUAAAGAAAAUUAUUCCUGAACUCAACUCAGUACUUCCAAGUUUGACCCCAAAUAACAAAAAUUAUCUAAAAAAAGUAUAUAUAUGUAGUUAUUUAUUAACUUUAAAAUAAAUUAUCCACUUACAGACAGAAAAUAUGAUAUUUCUUCAGCAGAUCUCCAAGCCCAUUAAAAUAUCUAUCAGGUUAUAGAACAUACAAAUAAUAUGAAUUUGAAGAGUCCAUUGCGUCCUUCACAUUACAAGCUAACUCCCGAUGAAUUUUCACACAGUCCCUUAAAUAACUUGCCUAAACGUAAACUUUACAGCCUCUUGUUAUUGCUAAUUAUUAGCCUGUCAAUGUGCACCAUGGUGACUUUGCUCAGAAAGGUACAAAAAACAGAUUUGUACUUCACACAGUCCAGUUCAUAUUAUAGUUAUGACUCAGAAAUACUAACAGACUUUGAAUGUGCCCAGUAAGUAUGUCCUUACUGCUUCUAUAGGAAUUAAGAGUGUAAAUAUAUUAACUAAUUAUAAGCAAGUAUGACCAACUCUGUAAAAGCAUAACUUUUGGCACUUUUCUGGUCUGGAUCAUUUAGUUGUGAGUUAACACAAUGUCACAACCUUGGAGUGGAUGCCCCAGCAAAUUCACCUCAACACCAGAUUGUGCAAUACUCUCAGAAAGUGUAAAAAACAAACAACAACAACAAAAAAAACAACAAAAAAACAACAAAAAAACCCAUGUAAAUUUAAAAUUACAGGCCUCAGAACAUGUUAAAUGUUAAUGUUCAUGACAUUACAAUUAAAAAAUAAAGGAACAAGGACAACAUGUUUGGAGGGGCUACCAGGAGAAAGCCUCUCUAAAAAGCACUGGUUCGGUUUGCAAAGUUGCAACUGAUCAAACCACAAAACUUCUGGAACAAUGUCCUUUGCAAAGAUGAGAGCAAAGUGGAGAUGUUUGGCCCCAGAACAUGGGCAUUGAGUCAUUGCAGUCAUUGAGUCGACCAUGAACUCCUCUGAAUACGGAAAGUAUUCCAGAGUCAAAUGUGAAGCAACUUGUCUGACAGCUAAAGUUUGGCCUAAAUUGGAGGAAGACAAAGAUCUCAAGCAAGCAGAAGGACUGAAAAGUAAAAGAAUCGAGGUGUUGCAAUGGCCCAGUUAAAAGUCCAGAGCUCAACCUGAUUGAAAUGUUGCAGAACCUUAAGAGAGCUGUGCAUAAACAAAUGCCCACAAACAUCAAUGAAUCAAAUCAACGGUGUAAAGAAGAGUGUGGCGAAAUUCCCUCACAACCAAGUGAAAGGCUGAUAGUAAUACAGAAAACAAUUACUUCAAGUUAUUGCUGUUAAAGGUGGUUCCUCAAGCUACUGAAUCAUGGUGUGUACUUAGUUUUUCACAGGACUGCAUAGAGACCUGUGAAAAUUUUCUUUUUCACAUGGCUGUAUGAUAUGUGCAGUGGGCUAUGUUCUCUUUGACUAACAGCCUCCCGGGCUGAAACAGGACCAGACACCAUAUCCAUCUUUUCUCAUGCACCAAUUAUCUCAUUCCUCCUCUACAUGUCAGUUAUAUUUUUGCAGUUCUCUAAACCAGCUGUGCAUAUGUGAAAGUCCCCACACUUGCAGUUCACAGCUUUUCCCCCUGUCCUGUCAAAAAAAAGAAAAAAAAAAAAGAAAUCCAGCAUCCGAUUGCCACUUGUCAGAUUUCAGAUUUAAUCUUUGGAAGUUAAACUAACUCUAUCCUUUCAGUUAAUUAUUUACCAUCAAUCAAUCAAUCAAUCAAUCAAUCAAUCAAUCAAUCCAAUGCUGUAUUAAUUACUAUAAGCAAACUAUUUGAACCAUUUGUUAAAAUUUUUUCAGUUUUAACAAUGUAUCCAUUUUUUUAUUUUAAGAUAAAUAUCUCACCAUUUAUUAAUAUAUCACCAUCAUUAUUUAUUUAUUUUGCUGUUUUACCCAUUUAUCCACCAGUAGUAUAGACAUUUAGGGAUUGAGUGUGGGAGGUGUACAGUCCUAAAACUUUUAAAGAAUUGGAAGCACCAAUUUUGACCACAAGUAAAGUAACUUUGUAUGACGAUUACAAGCAUAUCUCUGGUUUGGCCUCAAAUCUACCUGAGCUAUUAACUUCUAUUUGCUCUUAGGUGUAACAUUUUUAAUAGUUAUCAAAGUUUCUAAGUUAUAUAACCUAGAUAUCCCUUUUUUUAAAGUCAGGCUGAGGUACUAUACAGUCUUUCUACUAACUUCUUGAUGGCAAUCAUUGAAUGCUGCUUUGGAAAAUGGUACUGGGGGCUUACUUUGCAUAUUGAACUUUGCGAUCCGUCGUUGUGUACAGUCAGACAUCUUCAACAUGUGUUUUAAAUUUCAACUUUUCAUUCACACUUGAGUCCUGUGAAGGAGGCUGGUCCAGUUCAGUUCGAGGUGCAAAACGUGGUUUAAGGGCAGCAUCAGGGUUAGAUCACAAGUCAGAAACAAAAGAAGGAACGUACUCUGGAGUGAUGGAAACACAUCUCUGUGCAUGAAUUUCCUAAUGCUUUCAUAACAUUCUGAAGCGCACACAGCUUGAAUCAUUUUUGCUUUGAUGAUGAGCUAACAAAAUAACAUCACCUCAAAACAAAAAAUGUAGAGAAUCUGGUCGUCGUGCAUCUGUGACUGCUGUGAACCACACUGAACAUGGAACGAAUGGCUCAAAAUAAAUUUACAUAGCAGAAACAGAUGCGCUGUUGCACAUCUGUGAGUAACGCACAGUGCUGCACCAGCCUGCACAUUUUCACUGGGUUUUGCUGUCCGAAACAUUAAAUGCAGCCGUGUGCGGUUAGAUCUGUGAAGACUAGUGCUGCAACAGGAAACACUUAGGAUUGUGGCCUUUUCUGGAUUACAUUGGUUGCGCUGUUGCCUAGACAACAGUAAUUAGAAAAGACUAGGUUACCAAGCAGAGAGCGGUUAUGUUUCCUUAGCAACCAAGGUCAGGGAGAAGGCUCUGUGUUUACCUGAUUCUGAGGAAGGAGACAGAUACAACACAUCUGUCAUUGUAGUAAGUAUUGGGAGGCGUCAGGUUCAUGCAGUCAUCUAUUUUCCCUGCUUGCACUGAAGACUGUAACUUUAGCACCACAGUAACCUGACUGCUUCUUAAUACAUCUGUGCAGAAAAUAGAGCAUGUGUCAAUUUCCAGCCUAACUGUCAGCGCAAGCUUUAAAACACACGGAUAAUACGAGGGGGAAGGAAUCUGUUAGGAGAGCUGAGGAGAGCACACAGUGUCCUCCUAUAUGUAGGCCUGUGUGUGCCCGCUGCGUGCUCUUCCUGUAAUUAGUUGAUUAUCACAGCUUGUCGUCACACACAAGCUUACACAAACAUGCUAUAAUGACAAUGACAUAACAGGGCCUCCUUAAGCAUCAGUCUACCGUUUUGUCACUCCUCUACUCACCGCUUCUAUCAUUCAUCUUCCCUUUGCCUCGAAGCCCUUUUAGUCCGCCUGUCAGACAAAGACAGACACACACACACACAAGCUUCCCAUGUCCACGUGUAACCAGAGGCUAUGAGAACACUUAAUCCCUCAGCACCUGCUUUCCAUACAACUGUGACCUCUCUGCAGCUGGCUCGGUGUGCGCCUUGUUGCCUUUACAUGUUCAUAUCAGUGCCAGGAAGGAGGAGGGAGGUGUUAAUUAAUUUGCAUAUUUGUAGAUUUGUUUGUAUCCGUGUGUUUUUAGUGACACAUUUAAGCUUAAAAACAUGGCCAGCGCUGUAGUGCGGAGAACAGAUGGAGUGGGUAUAACAUGGCAUCGUUAUGAUCCCAUACAGUGCAGCAGAACAGACUGCAAGGAUCAGCUUUUCAAAUUAAAUAUGAUGACACUUACACUGUGUCCUGUCUGCUCUCUGUACGCAGGUCCAACGAGUGCCAGCAUCACUUCUGGUGCUUUAUAAAGCCUCUAAACACACAGCUAGUUAAAAAAAAAAAAAAUUGUUCAGGUUUAGAGAUGAAAAGGGAAAAAAUAUUGAAAAGGAUGCAGAUUACUUGUUUCUGUACUCUAAAGCGUGUGAAUAAAUGAAUUCAUAUAGAAGAAUCUGAAGCAAAGAAUAAUUAUUUAUAGGGAACAACAACGCUGCUUAAAUCUUGAGACACACACACACACACACACACACACACACACACACACACACACACACACACACACACACACACACACAGCUAAAACAGUACCCAAAAUGUAGAUCAUUUUAUUGCCAUAAAAUAUAUACAAACAGUAGCAUGUAAAUUAAAAACAAAAACAAAAAAACAAACAAACUGUAAAACAAAUAUAAAAUAACACGACCUCUUUCCACAUCCAUGUGAGGAAAAAGAAAGUUUGCUUGACUGCUGCUCACCGACCAGAUAAGAAAUUCGGACCUGAA